UUGUGAUAAUGACCGCUCUUGUCCCUGCACACAGAGCCUCCCACACACCAGCGGGCACAAUACAAACAGAUGAGCUCACUGACACCAGCCAUGGGCUUGGAUCUGGAAUGUUCCCCCACAGGCCCGUGCGCUGAAGGCCGGUCCUCAGGGUGGCUCUGUUGGGUACACUGAGGCCUCGGGGCUUGUCCUUAAAGGGGAUAGUAGGACCCUGGACUCUUACUCUUCCUCUCUUCUGAUCCGGGCCAUGAUUGGGUGGCUCUGCUUUGCCACACGCUCCUGCCAUAAGGUGUCACCUCUUCACAGGUUCAGAGACACCCAGGAUUGGAACUUCCCAAACGAAGGGCGGAAAUGCUGUGGAGAUGGGUUGGUGGUCUACAGCGCGGAAUCAGAGCUGACCUCAGCACCAGCACCCUGGAAACCACGACUCCGUCUUCCAGGAAAUCUGAGCGUCUCUGCAUAAGCUGCUGACAGCCAGUGUCCCUGGGAAGUGGAGCCUAUCAUGGUGGCCACCACGGACUGAAAGGUUUUUCUCCUGUUGAAGUGAAACGAGGGCUCUGUAUUACUCUACCGAGAGGGCUCGAGAAGGGGAUGCCACCACGCCCAUCAGUGCUUGCCACAGCACUGCAAAGAAGGAGCUCAUUACGAAGCUGUUUGCCUGGGUGGGUCGGCCACAGCAGAGCACCCACUGGAAUGAGCUGGAGAACUAAGUUAUCUUCAGUGCCGAUGAUCCAUUUAUUUUUAAAAGUAUUCUCUAAAUGCUCUCUUGCACCCCAGCUGCCUUCGAUGGGGAGUAAAAUGGGUUUGCAUCUCUCUGCAUCUCUACCCAUGCAGGGCUGAGGGUGCUGGGCAGGAGAAGCGGCUAUUUCUUCACUCUUGUUACCCAAAUGUACUCUUUAGUGACUGGUUCUUUUGCAGAGGCUCUGGAGUGAAUGUCCCUGGAAACCUUUCCUUAUUCGAUGAAGACCCUUGCCAGGAUUUCUCAGAGAACGUUGUGAUUUGGAUUACAAUUUUUGUAACAGAAGAGACAUGUUCUCCAGCCAUAGGCAUGAGAAGAAUCUUACCCAUUUAUUUAAUGAGUAGUCUGUUCUGUGACAUCUCCCCAGUCCGUCCACUGUGCCCUCUUUUAUAAAAUAAGCAGAGGUGCACAGUGAAGUCAUCAGCUCUUCAUGCAGAACCCCGCGUGGGUGGACCACUGGCCUGUCCUGGUGGGAAAUCAUGGCUGCUUGUUUGUGGUGCUGCAGGGAUGUCCUGUUCCACGCGGCUUGCAGAUAGGAAAUGCAACCUCAGCACAUUCCAGGUUUAAGGAGAGGGGAGAUGGAGCAAAUCUAACCAGAGAGAGAGAGAGAGAGAGAGAGAGAGAGAGAGAGAGAGAGAGGGGGGAGAGAGAGAGAGAGAGAGAGAGAGAGAGAGAGAGAGAGGGGAGAGAGAGAGAGAGAGGAAGAAAGAGAAAGAGGGGAAGAAAGUUUAUUGGUCCUGCUGUAGCCGAGGGUCCUUGAUGCAGAGAUCACCUUGGUUUGUGGUAUUUGGUUGAUGUCAGGCAAGAGUCUGUGUCUGGUUGGGGCCAAGAGACUUGGCAGAGGGUAAAGGCUGUUGGCUGGUGUCUCCUGGAGAACUGGCUGGUAAAAGAUGGCCUGAUCUUGUCCAAGGGGAUGGGGAUCCAAGUCUGGGCCCCUCCCAACAGCUACAAACCUGGAAAGAGGAUCCAGAGUGGGGGCCAGGUCUUGAUGGAUGGGGUUCUGAGAGCCAGGGUUGGCUGGGUGAGGGCACCUGGCCUGCAGGCUCUGGAGUUGGGCUCCAGAAAGGUGAGCCUGGGGUUGAGAUGUGACCAGGCUAAACCCACCAAGGCACUGGUCAGGGGGACGAACGUCACACGUAAGUCGUGUCAAGUCCCUGAGAGGACAUGAGAUGGACACAGAAGUUUUGCCUGAUGGACAGGAGGGAGAACUUCAAAGGAGUCCCAGAAGCACCAGUUCUUAUAAGUAGCAUAGGAGCACCUGCCGUGUAUUGAGUCCCUGCUACGCACAGACCCAGCACCUCUGAAGCACUAUUUCUGAUCCUCCUCACACAGAACCAGGAGGUUAUCCUCAAACCCCUCACAGUGAGAAGCUGAGACAUGGAAUGGUUGGGUGACUUGCCUAUGGGACGUGUCGAGCAGGAAUGAGAACCAAACGCAUCGGAUUCCAGAGCUCACUCUUCCCGAUGACUCUGUCCUUCAUGCACAAGUCCACUGACUUGCCCGAGGUCAAGAGCGAUGCUCCAUUUUGCCCAUGUGGGAAGUCGGGUGUAAGGACAUGGCCAAGGCCUUCGCAGCUCAGGGUCCUCCAGCUCCUCCCAGACCCCAUUUCCUGCUCUCAAGCCAGGCUGCCAUUGACGAGGGACUGAGCGGUCAACCUAGUGGUUUCAGAGUCUUAGGUGCGAGUUCCAGUCACACUGGAGCCACCAAGGGCUGAUGGUUCCGUCUUGCUAACUCAGGAAGGAGAUGCUCCAUGUGUCCUGAUCUGCCACCACUCAGGGGCUCUAGGAGUCGAUUCCCACUGUGGAGUGACAUGCUGAGUGACGGGAAGUUCAGCCUGUCUCAGGGAACAGUUCCCAGCCAGAGUCAGCAACGAGGUGUGAAGGUGACAGCAUGCAUCUGGCUUCUACCCACAGAUUCCUGAGCCCCAGUGAGGCCCGUGCAGAGAGGGGGUCUGUCAAGCAUCUGGGACCGGUUGGUGUGGGGCUCCUUUGCGUGGGACAGGAUGGGGAUACAACCAGCAGGACUUCUGGAGAUUUCUAGGCUGUAUCAGCUGGCCUCCCUGAAAUCAGAGCCUCCAGGCAGGGCUUUGAGACGCCCUCAGCAGAUCCUCAAAUAGCGAGGGGGCGCCAUGGAGCAUCUCCGCUGCAAAACCCAGUGUUCCACCAACCACCGAUGAUCCCGAAGAAAUGCGACUUGCUCCCCUUCACCAGGGAGGUCCUGGUGAAGAGUCAGAGGGUGGAGUCGGUUUCCCAGGAACAAAGCCUUUUAAUGCCUCCUUUUGCCAAGGUGAGGCUCAAAGGGAAAGUGGCUGUUCUUGGGAGGUCACGUCACCGUCUGUGGAAACAGGUGGAGAGACUGGGGCUGCGGUCCAACCUCCCCACACCCUGCAGGUGGGUGAAUGGUCUCCUCUGUAGAAAAGAGAGGGUCCCUCCGCCCAGGCUCAUCCCACCAAGGGCUCCAUCACCCCUGAACUCACCCUGAAGUCACCGAGUGAGGAAGGUGAGGCAGGGGUGCGGAUGCCUUUGAUCUGUGGUCCCACCGUUGAUCCCUUCCAUGCAGGGUCCUGGAUUUUACUGUGUGGACGGCCUCUGAACUUAGGCACCCUGGGAAGGAGCCUCCUGUCCUAGGUCCUCUCCUGGCCCCCAGGGGUCACCUCUGAGGUCUGCAGGGACAUCUUUCUCACUCUAGAAGGCAGUGUCGGGCUCACCAGAAACAGUCCAGGGACAGCACUUCUCCCCACCCGAUGCCACUCCUGAGUGAGCGCAGCGCGAGGACUUCCCACUCUAACAAGAGGAAGCCCCCAGGAGCGUCGUCACCUGGGUCCUGCGACGGCCUGUGGCUGGCAGAUGGGAGAGGAGAAUCUUCAAAAUGAAAAUCCAUUUGUGCCGGGCGUGACGGCGCACCCCUGUCAUCCCAGUGACUUGGAGGCCGAGGAAGGAGGAUUGCAAGUUCGAGGACAGCCUGGGCCACUUAGCAAGACCCUGCCUUCAACAUAAAUUUUUUUAAAAAGGGCUUGGAUGUAGCUCAGAGGUAGAAAGCUCCUGCGUCCAAUCCCCAGUGCUGUAAUGUAAGAAAAAAUCAUUUGGUUAUUAAUUUGCUCAGUGCUGGUUCUGUAGCUUGGCUACCGUGGCCUGUGCUGCCUCCUUUUGAAGACGUGUGAAUUCGGUGGGGGAAUCCGAGCUGCCAGAGUCCAGAGAGAGAACUGCAUUGUCCACAUACAGGACAGUGGCCCUCAUUGCUCCUGCCCCAACAGGGCCGGUCUUCCGUUGGGUGAUGUCCACCUGGCCCACAGCAAGGUGGGCGUGGGGUGGGCAGAUGUCAAGGCAGAGAGGACAGUCUUUGUGGGAAGGAGGGUCCUUGGCUGAAGUUCCAGGCCUUUCUUUGAUGAUCUCAGUUGGGCUGGGACUUAGUGAUUUGAAGGAGGGAGGUCUAGGUGAAGGCAGAGGUGCGCUGAGACCUUGGCACUGAGAAGUGUUGUCACCGUGCUGAGCCUGACCACGGUGGCCGGGUUGAUUUUUAGCCCCGCAGAUCACGUCUCUAUGGAACCUCUGAGAAAAUUAAGUUUGACUGUGCAUAUGGCCCUGGAGCUGUGCAGGUGACCCGUAGAAUUACCUACAUCCUCCUUCCAGUAAUACGUUCUGGUCGACAGGGAAGCACUGGGUCCUCUGUGGAUGUGGAGAGGCUUCUGGGGGAGACGGGAGUGGAGCUCGCCUGCGAUGAUGGAUGGGGUCAGAUCCGAAGUGCUGCGGAGGCCAAGGGAGCGUCCCAAAUGCAGGAGGGAGAACCUGCCUCCCAGAACCCUCCUAUGCAGGAGCACUUGGCCUUGUGGACCAGCGGGAUCACUGGGUGUGUGGGGGCAUGGACGUGCAUGUGCAGGGCUCACAAUACUCCUUCCCAGCCAACUCUAGCCUCAAGAAACUUCAGAAGGUCCCUUGCAUGGACUCACAAGUGGCUGGGUAAUAAAUAGUGCCCGGGGCCUGUCCAUCAGCCAACACCACUUUGCAGGAAACCACGGCACUCAUUGGAGUGUCUUUUAAUUUUCACUUGCCUGUCCCCUGACCUGUCCCCGGAAAAAAAAAAAAAAAAAGGAAAAGAGCCAAAGGCAGGUGGUCAGCUCUGCUCCCAGCCUCUCUCUGUUCUUAGUGAGCACUGGACCCAUCCCCGUUCCCCUAGAGCCAGCAGCCAGGAGCGGGCUCCCCUCCUGCCCGCCGCAGACCCCCGCCAGCUGCAAUACUGCUCCGUAGACUAAUACUGAAUUUCCAGCUGCUCCGUGGCUCACUCUCUUUCCCUGGCCUUUGGCAGCAGGGAAGUCUGCCUUAUUAGAUGCUAUCAAACACCGCCUCCUUCUCGGGCGCUUGCCUUCACGGGCAUGCCUGCAAAUGGGUAGAUUUCCACAGCCCGACACAAUAGCCCUAAUUGCACGGCUUCGGCAUACAAGCGGAGGUCGUUUGAUUACUAGCUGUUUUGUACCAUGAAAGUGCACAUUAAUUAUUUAAGAGAUGGACUUAUAAUUAUUGUAAGCCUUAAGUAAUUACCUAUAAUUUUGGCAAGGGUUAGAAAAACUGAUAGUCUAGCAAAUUCAGGUUUUAGUCAUUAGUAAGAUCAUAAUUACAUUUAAAUUGCAAAAUGAAAAUUAUGCAAUUUAUCUCCCCAAUAAUGCAUAAACAUUACAGUGAUUGUAGGUUUUAAUAGACUAUAAAAACGGGAGCAGCAGUGGGCAGUCAGGGGCAAUUUCAGCCCUCGCUAUUAUUUUAUAUUGGAACUGCUUCUUCCGUAGGGUUGUCUGGUCCACUCCUAUCUGGGUUAGUCUGGGGUGCAGGGGGGCUGCUGAGUGUCUUUCAAUCUGAAAGCCAAGCAAUCAGGUCUUUGGAAGAGAGGAAGACAGGGAGAGAGACGUGAUCCAUCACGAUAAGCCUGAAGUUACAGGAGAAUAUUUGCACCAAAGGAAAGAAUCUCAUGGAGGAGGGUCAAGAAGGUUCCAGAAGACUUCCCUCCUUGAAUUUUCAUCAUGUCUAUUUUACAGAUGAGGAAACUGAGGCUCUGAGAGAGGAUGAGACCCGAUUGCAGUUGGGCUGUGGGGAUAGAAUCCAGCAUCCAAAGCUUUGCAUCUGUUGCCACCAGCCUCUGGGGUCUUUGUGUCCAGUGUCAGUGAGGCCCAGGGAGCAGCACAAGGGUGACCCUAUGGGUGGGUCUGGAAAGGCGAGCAUGACCCUGCUGUAUCCGGGCAUCGUAUUAAUGGUGUCUUCACAGGGACCACUAGACGGGAGACCUUUUGAGAUCAAAGUGGCUGAUUCUCCUGUAAAAUGCAUCUCCGAGCCCUUGUCUUCUAGGAAGUAGCCCCUGGAGGAGAAUCAGGGUCCGACACUCUGCUCCUGUAUGGGCCCAGUACAUGUUUCCAUUGUGGCUCAGAUUCAUGGACACCCAGCGAUGAUAAGAUGUGCUGUCUCCUUAAUGGAACCGAGAACGCGUCCUGGUUUAUGUAUCUUGGGCACACAGUGAAAGCCGAGGAAAUGUGUAUUAACUGAGUCGAUUGAUUAGUCAGUCAUUUAUGACUCGUCCACUGUCUUCAUUAUCUUACGCUGGAUGCAGGGAAGGUCAUAAAGAAAGGCAACAGUGUCUCUCUGCUCGAGGGUUUUGCGAUCCAGCGAAGGGGAACAAACAGAUGAAAGACGAAGCGUCAAGGCAAACAUAUUUAUCAUCCCUGAACAAACUGCGUCCGCGUUCCGAGUGUUUGCCGAGAUAAGUUGUGACUUGUUCCUCGGCUGGAAUGCCACCGGAGCUGCCCGGACGCCUAUCUGCCUGGCUCAGUCAGCUCCAGUCUCACCUAGAUGCAGGAAGAUAAAUAUUUCCUGUUGUCAUUAUCUAAUUAUGGGAUGAUGCCAACAAUAAAUAUUGACUGAGCGCCUAAUCUAUGCCAGACGCCAUGCUGGGAAGUCGGGCACCAGGAGGGGCAGCCUCGGGGAGCUGACGUCAGAAGGACCCAGGCAAAGCAGCAGGGGGAGAGCCACCAAGGGGCAGAGGAGAGGGGCAGGAAAGGUAAAAAGAGCACCCGUGUGGGCAGACGGGACGCCCAGGGGAGCCCAGAAAGAUUAGAGAGACCAGCAGUCAAGGAAGAAGGGCUGCGAGGGCUAUAUCAAGAGUAAGUACCCAUGUGACGCUUUAUGGGAGGGGGGUACUCAGGAUAGAACCCAGGGGUGCCCAACCACUGAGCCACAUCCCCAGCCCUUUUUAUAUUUUACUUAGACAUAGGGUCUCCCUUAGCUGCUUAGGGGCUUGCUAAGUUGCUGAGGCUGGCCUUGAACUUACAAUCCUCUUGCCUCAGCCUCCCGAGCCACUGGGAUUACAGGUGUGCACCAGCUGCCCGCCUCCUCCUGGGAGGAAACCCAGCUCUGGCUUUCCUGUGGGUACACCUCCCAGAUUUGCCUCCCAGGAGGAACUCAGCCUCUGCUUCAAGUGCACAGUCCUGACUGGGGUACACCCAGGUGCUACCAGCCACAGAAUUAUAAAACCGUGGGCCUUGGGAGAGCAGUAAGUGCCACUUCUAAAUGCAGCAUCACUGUGGGCGAAGCGUCUGUCCCAGGGGCCGGCGCUCAGUGCUAGACGUGCUCUGAACACAGUGCUGUGCGUGGGAAGUGGCCUCACUCGGGCCCGUCACUACUUCCCCCAUGCUUAGAGGAAUCGAGAGGAAGCUGACCGGGUGCCUCUUCUCACAGGACAGUCCAGGGUGGAUGUUCUGGGGGAACUCAUAGCCAACUUACGUCGUUGAAUCUCUGCCCUUAGACAAUCUUACAAUAAAUGGAGGAUCCCAGGCAAGGUCUGUCAAGGGCACAUGGAAAUGCUCCUCGUCUUUCAAGGAGGUGAUGCCGGGGAAGCCCGUUGAUGUUGACAGUCGUGUAAGGUGAAAAUUCACGGACGCAGCGCACCUAGCAGACACCAGCGCCUUCUCCUACCAACCUUCAAAACACCGAGGACUCGGACCUCAGCAGACAAUUGUGGGAGGUCAUUUACCCCUGUCUCUCCAGGAAGGGGUGAGCAUCCUGUGCAGUUUACCAAGUACGUACUGGAAGUGCAAAAUGGCGCCAUCCACAAAUCUUAAGUUGGGCCACCCCAAGUCAGGGACUCUCUCUUGAUCUGCCAGGAGGGAGACCCCCAGUGCCGGCAAGCAGGGCCAUCACAGUGGAGCAGAAGAGCAUGCGCAUCCAGAUUUUAAUUCCGGCUUUGGUGUCUGAGCUCCAUCUUGGAAGAAAGGUCGGAGUCUACAAGUUAGAGAUGAGGGGUGAACCCUCAGAGGCGAGUGCUCACCCGGGCAGUGCCCGGGACGGCUCCUGCCAUUUGCAUUCACUGGGAUUAUUUUGGUUGCAAGUGGCUGAAACACCAACUCCCGUGGCUUUGGAAAAUGGGAAUUCAUAGGCAGGCUCACAGAGUGGUGACAGGCAGAGCCAGUCACGAAGGCAACCGAGUCAAGUGGCUUCAGGAUCUCAGGGAGUCGCUCACCUUGCGCACACCCCAUCUCUGAUGCUCUUGGUUAGUCGUUUCUGUUCUCUUGGGCUGCCUGUCUCCUCCUGGUGGGAAAGCUGGCUCCGGCUUUCCAGUUGGCCUAUGGAUUUGUCACCAAGGAGGGACCCAGCCUCUGGCUCAGUCCUGCACUCAGCCCAGAUGGGCGUGCACCCACAUGCCAACAGCUACGGGCAGAGAGAGGAGAACGUGUGAAGGCAAGGCCCUCAGAAGGACACAAAUGUCACUUCUGAAGCCACAUAGCUGGGCUUCAGAGAAGGGACACUGUGAGGGGGGGAUGGGAGGGGAGGAGGGGUAAGACAGGGAACCUAUUUCUCAGAAGGAGGAAGAGUUUGUGUCAAUCAACUUUCAGAGGCUUCAAAAUACAAGUCAUGGGGGUUCUGGGAAAUUCUGGUCCGAGCCGGCGGGUGGGCCUGAGGUUGGAGGAGAGACUUAGCACUGGUCAGUUCUGUGCAGAUGUUUUCCAUCAGAUCCAUUUAUCAGGCUUUCCACUCACUCUCCCUUAAAUCAAACCCCUGCUGAUGAGAUUCAAGGGGACCUAUUAGGUAGAAAUAAAGGUUGAGAUGCUAUCACAGAGACCAGGCAGAUACACUGGAUAGGGUAGAGAUAAAAAUAUAAAAUAUUCGCUUUGAAAGCAUAUCACUUACAGGAUAAUGGCCAAUUCUGGUGGUGAGUACCUGUGCUCAUAAGUCACGCAGGAAACUGGGAUGAGAGCGCUUAAUGGCUUCUGCUUCCCUGAAACGCACUGUGCUGGUCUCCCGACCCCCACGGGCUGGCUCUUGGGUGCACCUUGGCAAAUCUGUAUGUUUGCACACCUGGGAGCUGAGCCCUCAUUCUCUGUGGAUAGAACGUGUCGGCUGUGGAGACUGGAAAACGCGGAUCCCACAGGGACUUGAAUCGCAGCUUCCUUCUGGAGAAGGCACAUGAGCUCCUUCUCUCCCCAGGAACAUCAUGACCCACUUCCUCCAGGUGAGAGCCGAGGAGAGCUGACUGCAUUUUCCUGACAUCUCAUCAGCUAGACCACCUCGUCUAAAGAGAAAGCGCCAUUUGGAUCCUUUUCCAGUGCCUGAAAGCAAUUCCCUCUGACAUUCCUCCAUGAAUUUUCUUUGAGCUGGAUUACUUACUGGGGACCAAAGAGCCCUGGUUCUCAAAAUGAGAGGAAGCUUCCUGUCUCCCACUAGUUGGCCUUUCCUACUUACUGAGAGAGGGGACAAGCUGAGAAGUGAUGACAGGCGAGCUGAGGAAGGAACUGGACAGCAACAAAUGACCUAGAAAGAGAGCCAGCCAGCCAGGCCAAAGGCUCGGACAUGAGCAGGCCUGAUGUGAACAGUUCCCAUUCCAGUCAGGCAUGGAGGGAGCUAAGGAAUGAGCCCUCCCAGAUCUUCAAGUGAUUACUCCCCACGUAUGAACCAAUGGAGCUGGAGAUGCACUAAAUGCCGCUGUCCAGGGUCAGUACUGAGCAGUUACUCACCAGGCUGGACCAGAAUUUUGUCUGCAGAGACCUGAGGAGUUGCAUGUUUUUGUCACCCAGGGGGAGGUCAGCCUCCCAGAUCACACAUGUACCAACAGCUGCGGCAGAGUGGGGGAUGUCUGAGACAGGCAACUUGGGCAGACAUGAAUGUCACUACAGGCAUGUCACACAGAGUCAGUCAUGAGAAGGACAAGGUCAAAACUGGUCACUGAGUCAUAGAAAUGGAUUCAGUGUUGGCUGCUUGAGACGCGGUAUUAACGGGUAGGCCCCGGUGUGGUUCAGGCGGUACCUGUGCCAAUGCACCUGUACCAUCUUCUGGACGAGGCCCUGAUAGGCAGGGAGAGUAGGUGGAUCUGGGCCAGACUAGGCGAGCUCCCUCCAUUCAGAGCAGGGCUCAGCAAACUUCCAGGAAAAGUCAGGAUGGGGCACUGCUAAGGCUCCAAGAGCCCAAGGAAUCAAGAUCUUAUCUCUAUGGGCCAGUAGGCAGGGCAAGGCCCAGACCCCAGAAAAAGCCAAGGUCCAAGACAGAGUGACCGGUGAGAACAUAGUGGUUCAGGGCAGCAGCCAGGGCUUGGCCUAGGGAUGCAGAACAGGGUGGCCAUAGGCGAUCUCUGGCCUCAUGACUUCCAGGCUACUCAGGUGACAGGGACUCACUCCCUCCGAGGACGAGGACCCAGUUCCAAGUCCUACCAAGCACAGAGUCGGGCUGUCGAGGGACAUUGGUCAGAUGUGGACCUGCCUUGGCUUCCCUGAGUUGUCCCUCAGCACCCAGGCCCUGGAGGUGGAGGGAAGACCAACACAGGGUGAUGCCUCUGGCCAACGUUUCAUGGAGACAUUUUGCUCUCCAGAACCAGAGAGCAGUAAAAGCAAGUGCAGAUCUCCCUCCUCUGACCCCCAGACCCUCCUGCAGAGGGUCCCCAGGGGUCGCGGAGUUACAGAGAUGUCACUUCCAAGUCAGAUCACUUAAAAAAAAAAUAACCAAAAAACCUAUUAAUCUAUUCUACAUAACAGUCCUAUAGAAUGUAAUUAAAACAGCUUACUAUACUUGAUUAUAAAUGUAACACAGGCUCAUCCCAUAAUAUACAGAAAUAUAUUCCUUAAAACACGCAGCAUUUUGUGAGGGUGACAACCGUCUGCAAAGUACAGAUAGCUCAGAGGAAUGGAAGGAAUAAGGCCGUUAAAGCCUCACAGCCACUUUCCCCUGGGGUUGGGGGCUGUUUGGUCACCUGCCUGUGGGUGUGCAGAGGUGAUCUCUCCGUUAACCCCACGCAAGGCAGGCAAACAAGGGCAUGGAGAAUACAAAAUUGGAGACAACUGGCAACCUCCUCUUUUUGAUUUGUACAUGUACUUUUCUUACUUCCACUUGAGCGUAGUCUUGGCUGCUGUAUUGAAAAUUCACUUCAAAGGAAAUAAUAAAAUCCUGGUGCAAAAGAAAUUGAGAUGCUUUCCAAUUUCCCAACUUCAAUAAAAUGCUUCUCAGCA
This is a non-coding RNA of Ictidomys tridecemlineatus (thirteen-lined ground squirrel), 11204 nucleotides long. NCBI's taxonomy places the organism in Eukaryota, Metazoa, Chordata, Mammalia, Rodentia, Sciuridae. The record is from RefSeq and is a predicted model, not a curated record.